AUUGAACGCUGGCGGCAUGCCUUACACAUGCAAGUCGAACGGCAGCAUGGAGAGCUUGCUCUCUGAUGGCGAGUGGCGAACGGGUGAGUAAUGCAUCGGAACGUACCGUGUAAUGGGGGAUAACGUAGCGAAAGUUACGCUAAUACCGCAUACGACCUGAGGGUGAAAGCAGGGGAUCGCAAGACCUUGCGUUAUACGAGCGGCCGAUGUCAGAUUAGCUAGUUGGUGAGGUAAAGGCUCACCAAGGCGACGAUCUGUAGCGGGUCUGAGAGGAGGAUGCGCCACACUGGGAAUGAGACACGGCCCAGACCCCUACGGGAGGCAGCAGUGGGUAAUGUUGGACAAUGGGGGCAACCCUGAUCCAGCCAUGCCGCGUGAGUGAAGAAGGCCUUCGGGUUGUAAAGCUCUUUCGGCCGGGAAGAAAUCGCACAGGCUAAUACUCUGUGUGGAUGACGGUACCGGCAUAAGAAGCACCGGCUAACUACGUGCCAGCCGCCGCCGUAA
RNAcentral lists this ribosomal RNA (504 nucleotides) under uncultured bacterium. RNAcentral's name for it is "partial 16S ribosomal RNA". It matches the Rfam family "Bacterial small subunit ribosomal RNA", at positions 30 to 523 of the family's 1533-position model. The record is from RNAcentral.